Long non-coding RNA from Neofelis nebulosa (Clouded leopard), 2798 nucleotides. RefSeq lists it as uncharacterized. The record is from RefSeq and is a predicted model, not a curated record. The transcript has 3 exons. Lineage: Eukaryota; Metazoa; Chordata; Mammalia; Carnivora; Felidae.
GAUCCCCGGUGCUUGAGUCCGCCGGGGACGGCCACGAGACACACACGUGGAGGCGACGUGACAACCCAGAGGAGCUAUUUCUAAACGUGUGACUUUUUUGGCUGCCGGUCACGUUCCUGUGCUUCGUCUUGCUUGGCUCUGGGACCAGAGCGCUGACCACGCAGGGGAAAAGUUGUCUCCACUGGGAGCCGUGGCUGUGGUUCUGGAGUGGCUUACCCCAGGAGCACGGUCAGGAGGUGCUGCGGGACACUGCUCUCCUCCGUCAGGAGCCACAGAAAAGCCAAGGGAAAAAACCCGUCUCGUGGUUUGUAUCUGUAGGGCUGCCUUCAGAUCUGCCACUCAGCUUGCCUUCACGCCAGCCCGGAACGGCGCGGGACACACACAAACCCGAAUCAGGGAGUUCUUUUCCUUGGCAGAGGGACCUUGGCUCGACUGCCACAGAGAACAUUCUGGAGCUGAGAGACGAUUUCAUAGCCAGCUUAUCCAUCCACAUACUUGGAAAGAGACUGUGGUUAACACAUCACACUUGCUUUUCCUUUGUUGUAGUAACUGUACAUAUGAAAACCGUUUUUUUCCCCCCAACUGAACUUGUGGGCACUGCGUAGAGGCAUAGGGGUCGAAUGUUUGCAUUAUGGCUGUGGAUUUUCAUACUGUGAUGGAACAGCAAGGUGACACAGCCACUCUGUCCACACCCCAUUCCACGUCUCUCGAUGGCAGAGGAGCCAGCACAAGUUGAAAGCGAGACUUAGGACCCACACCAAACUGAGAAAGGGGAGGAGUGGUCCUGGCUCCUGCAAUCAGUGCACACUCACCAGGGAAUGAACGAGUAGGCCAGGAAACAUGUCCUCCGGCUGUUGGUUAGACGUGCCCAACUGCCUUUCCAUGUGCCCAGAUAUAAGCCAUCGUGGAAGAAUCAGCAAGAAUUUGCUGCCAAGCUCAGAGAUUUUCUCCCCAAGCAGAACUGGUGAGCUUGGGUAACUCCUAUCGUUGUAUAGCAGGGAAACUCUACACACGCGUGUUGUGGACGGAUGCUGAUCACACGGCUUUACAGUAAACUUUCUCCCAGGGGCAGGAAGCAAGGAGGAAAACCACUCGGAGAUCAGGCUAAGGCUGGCCCAAGAUUUAGACCUGAGAUGAUCAGACUUCUGAGUGCACCUGCGACCGACCAUGUCAGAACUAUCACAUCCUCCUCAACCCAUGUGAGCACCGCCCUCUCGGAGUCACCCGCAGCAAGCUGGGACUGCCACGGGACUGAGGGCUCACGGACGUUGUGUGAACACAUAGAAAGUUUUAGAAAAUUCAGUUCUUUUAAUGCUUCUUUUUCAGGUGAUAAAAUAUCUAAAAAUCGCAAACACACAUUUGACUCUCUGUUAGCGAUUACUAAUGUUAGUGAUUACUAAUGAUCCCUGGUUAUAAUGAGCGUGUGAAUUUCUUUGAAAUGAAAUUCUCUGUUGCUUUUCUUUUUAACGAAUCAAUUUGUGAUGGUUCUGGGAUUAUUUCAGACACGGAGGUAUGAGGUAUUUCUUCUCCCAUGGGCGUCAGAGAAUUUUAUGGUGCCCCCCCAGCCCCAGCUCUGGAAAAGGCACCUAAUGUUUCCCUGUUUCAGCUAUAUUUUGUAAAACUGUUAGCAAUGUCUAAGAUACGAGUGGGUGGAAAGGGGUGAGGAUUAUAUAAUGUUGCUAUUUCCUUUAACUUUCUUUCAUUGUAUGUUUGCUGAAUGAGUGUGAGUUUAGCACCAAUAAUUUGCACCCAGGACUGCAGAUUGGGACGUGCUUGGCCCCAGUGACCGUCACAGCGAGAGGACUCCAACAUUUGGGAAACGACAAAUGUCUCAUGUGCUUGGCUGCCCUAAGAGAAUACCAUAGCCUGCGACUUAAACAACAAAUAUUUAUUUCUCACGGCUCUGGAGGCUGGAAGUCGAAGAUCAGACAGCUGGCGGGUCUGGCUUCUUCUGAAGCCUAUUUGGCUCACCAAUGACCACCUUCUCCUCAAGUGUGUCCUCAAGUGGUGGGAUGGGCAAGGGGGCUCUCUGGGUCUCUGUCACAAGAGCACUGCUCCCAUCACAGGGGCUCCACCCUCAUGACGUAAUCACAUCUCAAAGGACCCAUCUCCUAACUUCACACUGGGGGCAGGUAGAUCCCCAUGGAGGAAUUUGGAUGGAGGGGAGACACAAACAUUCAGUCCACAGCCAUGAGAAUUAGAGAGGCCAAGAACACGCAAAAGACAGAAAGUUCUGUGUGGGAAACUAUCACUCGGCAAGAACUCAUAUAAAUCCUGGGAACAAUGACCUGUCAAUGUGGAUGGCAAUGAUAAUUCUAGGUGGCAAUGAUAAUUCUAAGAAGCAAUGUGAACUUUAGUUUCCAGUUUUGCUGAAGUCAGGGGUUUUAUUCAAUUAAAAAAAAAAGUUCAUCCAUUGCAUUUUGUGCCCACAGAUGAAAGAGGAAAUCGGCCUUUCUUUCAGGCACUCAGAGGGCACACAUGCCCAGAACUGCACAAACUUCACCGGUGGUGACAAUAAUGGGGCCACUUUACAUUUUACACAGGGUUGGGGUUUUCAGUAUUCAUGAUAAAGUAUGAGAAAGAUAUAGGAAAUAAUAUAACAAAGUCCCAGAUUUCUCAAGCCUUUACAGUUUGAUAUGCAUGUUUCACACGUUUUUAAGAAAUCAUAAUUUACUGGUGAGUUUGAAGUCCCUUGUCAAGCCUUUUCCUCAGAGAUAACCAGCAUCCUGAAUUUGUCAUCCCCUUCCUAUUUUAUGCUCUGGUUAUGCACUGUUUUCAUAAAUACUAUAUUGAGUUGU